This 1191-nucleotide ribosomal RNA is filed under the name Micrococcus sp. RNAcentral's name for it is "bacterial SSU rRNA". It matches the Rfam family "Bacterial small subunit ribosomal RNA", at positions 116 to 1319 of the family's 1533-position model. Lineage: Bacteria; Bacillati; Actinomycetota; Actinomycetes; Micrococcales; Micrococcaceae. The record is from RNAcentral.
CGUGAGUAACCUGCCCUUAACUCUGGGAUAAGCCUGGGAAACUGGGUCUAAUACCGGAUAGGAGCGUCCACCGCAUGGUGGGUGUUGGAAAGAUUUAUCGGUUUUGGAUGGACUCGCGGCCUAUCAGCUUGUUGGUGAGGUAAUGGCUCACCAAGGCGACGACGGGUAGCCGGCCUGAGAGGGUGACCGGCCACACUGGGACUGAGACACGGCCCAGACUCCUACGGGAGGCAGCAGUGGGGAAUAUUGCACAAUGGGCGCAAGCCUGAUGCAGCGACGCCGCGUGAGGGAUGACGGCCUUCGGGUUGUAAACCUCUUUCAGUAGGGAAGAAGCGAAAGUGACGGUACCUGCAGAAGAAGCACCGGCUAACUACGUGCCAGCAGCCGCGGUAAUACGUAGGGUGCGAGCGUUAUCCGGAAUUAUUGGGCGUAAAGAGCUCGUAGGCGGUUUGUCGCGUCUGUCGUGAAAGUCCGGGGCUUAACCCCGGAUCUGCGGUGGGUACGGGCAGACUAGAGUGCAGUAGGGGAGACUGGAAUUCCUGGUGUAGCGGUGGAAUGCGCAGAUAUCAGGAGGAACACCGAUGGCGAAGGCAGGUCUCUGGGCUGUAACUGACGCUGAGGAGCGAAAGCAUGGGGAGCGAACAGGAUUAGAUACCCUGGUAGUCCAUGCCGUAAACGUUGGGCACUAGGUGUGGGGACCAUUCCACGGUUUCCGCGCCGCAGCUAACGCAUUAAGUGCCCCGCCUGGGGAGUACGGCCGCAAGGCUAAAACUCAAAGGAAUUGACGGGGGCCCGCACAAGCGGCGGAGCAUGCGGAUUAAUUCGAUGCAACGCGAAGAACCUUACCAAGGCUUGACAUGUUCUCGAUCGCCGUAGAGAUACGGUUUCCCCUUUGGGGCGGGUUCACAGGUGGUGCAUGGUUGUCGUCAGCUCGUGUCGUGAGAUGUUGGGUUAAGUCCCGCAACGAGCGCAACCCUCGUUCCAUGUUGCCAGCACGUAAUGGUGGGGACUCAUGGGAGACUGCCGGGGUCAACUCGGAGGAAGGUGAGGACGACGUCAAAUCAUCAUGCCCCUUAUGUCUUGGGCUUCACGCAUGCUACAAUGGCCGGUACAAUGGGUUGCGAUACUGUGAGGUGGAGCUAAUCCCAAAAAGCCGGUCUCAGUUCGGAUUGGGGUCUGCAACUCGACCCC